UGAGGAACUAGGCUCUGCUACUGGAGGAGGGAGAAGAACCUCUUUCUGACGGGAAGAGUGUUUCGCCGAUCCGAUUGCAGUAGAAUACUGGGCCUUGAUUUUCGUCAUAAUGAAUAUGAUCUCUGCCCCUACCUAGCGCGUUAAUCUGUUGCGGCCAACUCUCCGUCCCUUGUCGUCGGGAAUGAAUACCUGUAAGACAGCAUC
Molecule: long non-coding RNA, 204 nt
Filed under: Elaeis guineensis (African oil palm)
Lineage: Eukaryota; Viridiplantae; Streptophyta; Magnoliopsida; Arecales; Arecaceae
Description: long non-coding RNA (EGUI_LNC015294)
Source: RNAcentral